UUUCCCCAAACAUUCAAAACACCAAAAUCCCUAACACCCCUCUCACUCACCUCCCUCAUCACUCUCACUCUCGAUCUCUCUCCCGCUGCUCUCCCUCCCUCCCAUGAUGGAUCCGAUGGCUUUCAAGCCUGAAAACGCUGCGUUUGGAGCUCUGGUUUUCGUGUGAGCUUUGUGAGUGGAGUUCGUAAAAAUAGAGAGCCAUUUAUUGACUUAAAGCCUCCGGAGGAUUCAAGGAAAGAACCAAUGCCGCACUUUUGAGAAUCACAUAUUCCUAGUAAUGUGGUUUCAAUGUGCUUUUUAACUUGCUGUCUACAGGAUAUAAAGCGGAGAGAAGAUGCUAUUUCUAGAUCUGGCGUCCCUGAUGAUGAUAAAAAUUGGCCUCCAUUUUUUCCCAAUUAUUCAUCAUGAUAUAGCUAAUGAAAUACCAGUUCAUGCUCAAAGACUACAGUAUUUGGCUUUUGCAAGUUGGUUAGGGGAAUCCUUGCAGCAAUCGAUGUCUUCAAUGACCAUGUAUUGGUUGGGAUAUUCUACUUAGUUGGCUUUGGCUUGUUUUGCUUGGAGUCGCUUCUACUUAGUUCAUGCUCAAAGGCUGCAGUAUUUUGUAUUUUUAUGCUGCCUCCCAUUUUUGCUUGCCAUACUGCUAAUUUUUCUCUAAAUGUUGUCUAGAUCCGAAAUUCCCAUGUUAGGCACCAGUUGUGUUUUUGCUUGGCUAUAAUAUUCCUUAAAAACCAUUCAUCGUAGCCUGCAGCAAAUAUCUGAUGCUCUUGUAGUGCUGUUUGUGCAGGUAUAGUUCUUUGUGUUGUUUUCAAACGAAAAGACUCUAUCCGACGGCUUUUUGGUUGCUAAGAAAUUACAAACUUUAAUGACUGUCUUGUAAUAGUGUGAAUUUUUGGGUUUUACGAUCUGUUUGAUUGCUGAGAAUAUGAAAUUGUGAUUUUUAUAGUCUUACUUUUCAGAAAAUUUUAUGUAUA
Non-coding RNA from Corylus avellana, 971 nucleotides. Lineage: Eukaryota; Viridiplantae; Streptophyta; Magnoliopsida; Fagales; Betulaceae. The record is from RefSeq and is a predicted model, not a curated record.